GUCGGGAAUAUUGCACAAUGGAGGAAACUCUGAUGCAGUGACACCGCGUAUAGGAAGAAGGUCUUAGGAUUGUAAGCUAUUGUCGUGUGAGAAGAAAAUGACCAUCACAGGAGGAAGCCCUGGCUAAAUAUGUGCCAGCAGCCGCGGUAAUACAUAUGGGGCGAGCGUUAUCCGGAUUUAUUGGGUGUAAAGGGUGCGUAGGCGGGAAAAUAAGUCAGUAUGUGAAAUCCCUCGGCUCAACUGAGGAACUGCAACUGAAACUAUUUUUCUUGAGUGUUGAAGGGGAAAGUGGAAUUCCUAGUGUAGCGGUGAAAUGCGUAGAGAUUAGGAGGAACACCAGUGGCGAAGGCGACUUUCUGGGCAACAACUGACGCUGAGGCACGAAAGUGUGGGGAGCAAACAGGAUUAGAAACCCCGGUAGUCC
Molecule: ribosomal RNA, 424 nt
Filed under: uncultured bacterium
Lineage: Bacteria
Description: bacterial SSU rRNA
Rfam family: Bacterial small subunit ribosomal RNA
Source: RNAcentral